UGACGAUGUGUUUUUUUGCCA
This 21-nucleotide non-coding RNA is filed under the name Caenorhabditis elegans. The record is from RNAcentral. Lineage: Eukaryota; Metazoa; Nematoda; Chromadorea; Rhabditida; Rhabditidae.